AUCCAUGUUUUACACAGCGGAUGCCCUUCCAGACUCCUGUUUCGCACUCCAGUCCAGCAGGUGGCGGUAAAGCGCAUUUAAGUUUGACAACCGCCAAAAUACUGAAGAAGUUGACAAACCGAAAGCGUCAAAGAGCUCACAUCGUGUUCCUGCUGCACAAGAGCGUCUGUACUUCUGCAUGAUAAAGUGUCCAAACGCAGAGAAAAACUGCUGAAGUG
This is a non-coding RNA of Danio rerio (zebrafish), 218 nucleotides long. The record is from RefSeq and is a predicted model, not a curated record. NCBI's taxonomy places the organism in Eukaryota, Metazoa, Chordata, Actinopteri, Cypriniformes, Danionidae.